UACGGAGACGCUAUUUCCCUCCGAACUCUGAAGUAGCCAGAAACAGAUUAUUGGCCGAGGAAAAACCAAUUUCGCUCUAAAGGAUAAGCAACAAAAUACUGAGGGGGGAAAAAGCCUACACAAAUGGAAACAUACGGCACAAAAUCAAGGAGCGACCAGUUCCGCAUGGUUACACUAAAAUGCACUGCACUCCCACUCUCUGGCUUGGCUGAAGAUAACCAGCAAGCUCUGAACAGUUUAAAAGCCUUCCAAGGACUGCAGCAGCACUGGACACACAAGAGAGUCGAGAACAGUAUUGGAUUUAUUGUUAGGGUUACAAUUUUCACGAUCUUUGCAUGCAAAACUUGCCACUCUGAGCCCAGUGAACUAUUUUUAUUUGGUUUACUUACUGGCUUUCUGGAUGACUAGGUAGAGCUUUAACUAAAGAACACUUCUGCUGUGGUCUGUGAUGAUGAAUUUUCC
Molecule: long non-coding RNA, 462 nt
Filed under: Homo sapiens (human)
Lineage: Eukaryota; Metazoa; Chordata; Mammalia; Primates; Hominidae
Description: non-protein coding lnc-PEX7-2:1
Source: RNAcentral